ACCAUUUUAUUAAUCAUUUUUUUUGUUGAUUAAUUACCCUCCACUCUGGAAACCCUAUGUACCCACCUCUUCUCCUCUCCUUUCCACCUUCUUUCCAUCUUAAUAUCUCCUUCUCCCUUCACCAUAGUCCCCAAUGAAUGGUGCCCCCCUCCUCCCUUGUAUCUCUCUCACUUUUCGUCAAUCUUUUAUUUCUUCAUAAACAAGGAUGGGCAAAGUUUGAUAGUAAUGAGAAAGGAUGGACGAUGGAUUGGAGUAAAAAAAUAAUACUAUUGGUUCUUUCAAGAUUUUUAUUUAUGUCCUUAUUUUUUUAUUUUUUAAAAUUGUAUGCUUCAAUGUUCUUCUCCUAAACCCUAAAGUUCCUAUGAUUGUGAGGCAAAUACAUGCCCUUCCCGGUUUUUAUACUUUCAUUUUUUUUGUUUUUUGAAUUUCAAAUUUUUUUUGUUCUCUAAUUUUGUCUUCUCAAUCAUUAUUUGCAAAAAUCAAAAUAUAGAAUUAUUGAUUUCUCAUCCCUACACAGACGAAGGUUCUCUAUUCAUUGUUUCAAAUCCUCGUCCUCUGAAUUCAUUUUUUUCAAUUUGGGAGAGAUGUUUUUUUUGUACAAUUUUGAAUUAGAGGCACCAGUCACCUUAAAGGUUAGUUUAUUGUAUAAAAACAUUAAACUUUUUAUCCAUUCUCUACACAAAGAAUAGAAGAAUCUCUUGAUUGUCUAUAGAUGUCAAUCACAUUGAUUGAAGCAGAUCAGAGCUCUAAGUAUGAUUCCAUAAUUGCUCGCGAUGUCUUGUAUAAAUUUGAUAUUUAAGAAAAUCAAUGGAUUGAAUGAUUUCACUCUAUAGAAAUUGAAGAUGAGAGCUGUUCUAAUUCAUCAAGGAUAUGCAACAAUGUUAGACAGAGAAAAUAAACCGACUGUGAGUAUGAGGUGGGGGGGGACAUGAGAUUAUAGAGAAGGUGCAAAAUUUAAUUUUAUUGAGCUUGAUUGAUGAGGUAUUGUGAGAGGUUGUUGAUGAAAUGAGUGUUGUGGGAUUAUAGGAGAAAUGGGAAAGCAAGUUUCAAAAGAAAUCCCGAGUCAUAUUGUUUUUUUUUUUUUUGUAUUGUUGAUGAAAUGUUAGACUAUUGUUUUCUUUUUUUUGUAUUGAAUUUAAGUGGAUGGGUUUUAUCUGUAAUAUUUUAAAAGUAUAAAUUUUAUUAAUGCUCCCAUUAAUUAGUUUGACGUUGGAUAAAUAUUGUACAGUUUUUCAAACAUGUUCA
This 1245-nucleotide long non-coding RNA is filed under the name Glycine max (soybean). RNAcentral describes it as "long non-coding RNA (GMAX_LNC004253)". The record is from RNAcentral. Lineage: Eukaryota; Viridiplantae; Streptophyta; Magnoliopsida; Fabales; Fabaceae.